Molecule: unclassified non-coding RNA, 101 nt
Organism: Microcebus murinus (gray mouse lemur)
Lineage: Eukaryota; Metazoa; Chordata; Mammalia; Primates; Cheirogaleidae
Rfam family: Y RNA
About the family: Y RNAs are components of the Ro ribonucleoprotein particle (Ro RNP), in association with Ro60 and La proteins. The Y RNAs and Ro60 and La proteins are well conserved, but the function of the Ro RNP is not known. In humans the RNA component can be one of four small RNAs -- hY1, hY3, hY4 and hY5.
Source: Ensembl
CCCUUGUCCCAAGAAGAGCAGGAGAUCCUAGUUAUCUACUUCACAGUUACAGAUUCCUUUGUUCCUUCUCCAGUCCCACUGCUUUGCUUGACUAGCUUUAA